This 450-nucleotide ribosomal RNA is filed under the name uncultured prokaryote. RNAcentral's name for it is "bacterial SSU rRNA". It matches the Rfam family "Bacterial small subunit ribosomal RNA", at positions 355 to 796 of the family's 1533-position model. The record is from RNAcentral.
UGGGGAAUUUUGGUCAAUGGGCGAAAGCCUGAACCAGCAACGCCGCGUGCAGGAUGAAGGCCCUCGGGUCGUAAACUGCUGUCGGGAGGGAAGAACGGCAUCAUGGUUAAUACCCAUGGUGUGUGACGGUACCUCCAAAGGAAGCGCCGGCUAACUCCGUGCCAGCAGCCGCGGUAAUACGGAGGGCGCAAGCGUUGUUCGGAAUUACUGGGCGUAAAGCGCAUGUAGGCGGUUUGGUCAGUCGGAUGUGAAAGCCCCGGGCUCAACCCGGGAAUUGCAUCCGAAACUUCCAGGCUAGAGUCCCGGAGAGGAAGGCAGAAUUCCCAGUGUAGGGGUGAAAUCCGUAGAUAUUGGGAGGAAUACCAGUGGCGAAGGCGGCCUUCUGGACGGUGACUGACGCUGAGAUGCGAAAGCGUGGGGAGCAAACAGGAUUAGAUACCCCCGUAGUCC